AAACUUUCAACAACGGAUCUCUUGGUUCCGGCAUCGAUGAAGAACGCAGCAAAAUGCGAUAGGUAAUGUGAAUUGCAGAACUCAGUGAAUCAUCGAAUCUUUGAACGCACAUUGCGCCCGCCAGUAUUCUGGCAGGCAUGCCUGUCCGAGCGUCAUUU
Molecule: ribosomal RNA, 158 nt
Filed under: Coccodiella miconiae
Lineage: Eukaryota; Fungi; Ascomycota; Sordariomycetes; Phyllachorales; Phyllachoraceae
Description: 5.8S ribosomal RNA
Rfam family: 5.8S ribosomal RNA
About the family: 5.8S ribosomal RNA (5.8S rRNA) is a component of the large subunit of the eukaryotic ribosome. It is transcribed by RNA polymerase I as part of the 45S precursor that also contains 18S and 28S rRNA.
Source: RNAcentral